RNAcentral lists this unclassified non-coding RNA (1253 nucleotides) under Hevea brasiliensis (rubber tree). Lineage: Eukaryota; Viridiplantae; Streptophyta; Magnoliopsida; Malpighiales; Euphorbiaceae. The record is from RNAcentral.
UGUGGCUAUUGUAGUAUCAACAAUUUGAAUAGAGUGCACUGAAGUCAGUAAGUUAACGAAUAUGGCAAAGAGAUCACAUCGCCAUGCUCUGAGAUAUGAGAAGGAUCGAGCGGGUUGCAUUUGGGGUUUGAUUAGCAUCUUUGACUUCCGCCAUGGUCGAGCCACUAGAAAGUUGCUCUCAGAUAGAGCGCGAGGAAGCAAACCAGUUCUUGCAGGUUCUGCUUCUUCAAGCUCUAUGCAGGAAAUACCAAAUCCCAGUGAUGAUAGACUGAAUAUUGAGGAUGAUGAAGAAAGUGAGGUAGCUGUACCUGAUCCUAGAACAAGUGUAAAGGAGCUCAUGGAAGAAGAAAUGGUCAAUGAGCAAAGCCUGAAAGAUCAGUGCAAUGGUUCUGAAAUAGACACAGAAGAUGUUGAUUCACAAAAAUCAUGGCGUUCAAGAAAGAACAGCAGGCGAACACGCAGAGCUUUCUCCAGACCUAGUAAUACACUCUCUCAUGAUUUGGAUGAUGCAGGAAAUUUGAGGUCUGAAGCACCUUGUCAUCAAGAUUCUGGAGGGACGGCCCUCGAUGAUCUGGACAUUGUAAUGGAAGAACUCCGCCAGAUUCAUCAGAAAAAUCGUAAGUUUGUGAAGCUCCGCCAAGGUUCACAUAAUGCUCAUAACAAUCAGUCAGAUCAGACUCACCCAGUUGUUGAAGAAAAGGUAAAUGCAGCUAUUGAGGUGUUUAUCAAUCAGAGAUCAAGAAACAAUAAACAAUUGGGAGAAGAUAACAAGACCCUCCAAUCAAAAGAAUUCAUGGAUGCUCUGCAGACACUAAGUUCAAAUAAGGACUUAAUCAUGAGACUCCUACAAGAUCCAAACUCAAGGCUGGUAAAGCAAAUUGGAAGUUUGGAGGAUGCUCAGUUUGAGGAAAAGCAGAGACCUAACUUGAUUUCAGAAUCCAAUAUGUCAGAGGAAAACCGUGUUCAUGCAAAAACAGAUGAUGUCAUAAACCACAAACAACGUAAGUUUUUCAGGAGGAGGAGCAAAUCUCAAGAAGUUUACCCUCCAAUGGGAAAUGAGACUCCCCGAUCCUCAAGUAAAAUUGUUAUUUUGAAGCCUGGUCCGACAGGCUUGCAAUCACCCAGUGCUCAAAUCAAUGUUAACACUCCAGCACGCUCGCGAUACACAGAGAAACAUACUAUUCAGAAUGAAAGGAACACAUCCCAGUUCUCAUUUACAGAAAUUAAAAGAAAACUCAAGCAUGCAAUGGGAA